CCCACCCCACCCCCAUCCAAGGACAACUUUUCUCAGGGCCUCAGGCAGAUUCUUCUGAAGAGCAAUUGUUGGCGGCUGGAAUGGAGCAGAUGCCCUAAAUGGGAAAGACUCUUCCUGAACGUCUGAGGAGGAAAGUUCACCUGGGGUUUCAACUGGAGUCAUGCUCCCCAUGCCCAAUUUUUGCAUGCCAGGGACAACUAAGAGAUACCCCGCUAGUCCCCAGGUUUGCUGGAAGACAGACUCUCAGAAGUGGAAUUGUCAGGCAGCUUAACAAUAGUUGCAACGAAUCCAAAUCCUGAAAGCAAAGGCAUGUUGCAUGGGACGCUUUGA
This is a long non-coding RNA of Mauremys reevesii (Reeves's turtle), 330 nucleotides long. RefSeq lists it as uncharacterized. The transcript is spliced from 3 exons. Lineage: Eukaryota; Metazoa; Chordata; Testudines; Geoemydidae. The record is from RefSeq and is a predicted model, not a curated record.